CGUUUAGGGGUAAACCUGAGAAACCCGAAAGGUCGAAGGGAGAAAUUCAUUCGCGUUUCGAGGUUGGCGUGAGACGAACGUGUGACGGAGACGGUUCGCCCGAUCUGCGCCUUUCGUUUUUCGAUCCGACCGCGAACGCGUGCACUUUUCUCCUGGUAGGACGUCGCGAUCCGUUGGGCGUCGAUCUACGGUCCGAGGUGGAGUCCGCGCGGUUUUUCCGUGCGAACCCUCGGUGUCCUGGCCGACUUGCUCGACGGUAUACGAACGGUCGAGGGCCGCUUUUAAAGCGUCCGACUCGUUGCAAGCACGCCUGAAGUAUCGAAUACCGGACCUAGCGCCGAUACCGAUCUCAGGUGGCUGUUGGCGACGAACGUCUCGGACAGACCCUCAAGACUGAUCUGCGACGCUAUAGCUUUGGGUAAUUUCAGGACCCGUCUUGAAACACGGACCAAGGAGUCUAGCAUGUGCGCGAGUCAUUGGGAAUCACUAAACCUAAAGGCGUAAUGAAAGUAAAGGUCCGUCUUGCACGGACCGAGGGAGGAUGGGCGGUUCGCCCUUAAAAGCGGCCGCUCCGCACUCCCGGGGCGUCUCGUUCUCAUUGCGAGAGGAGGCGCACCAAGAGCGUACACGCUGGGACCCGAAAGAUGGUGAACUAUGCCUGGUCANA
This 667-nucleotide ribosomal RNA is filed under the name Apion cruentatum. RNAcentral describes it as "eukaryotic LSU rRNA". It matches the Rfam family "Eukaryotic large subunit ribosomal RNA", at positions 406 to 845 of the family's 3401-position model. Lineage: Eukaryota; Metazoa; Arthropoda; Insecta; Coleoptera; Brentidae. The record is from RNAcentral.